UCUCCGUUGGUGAACCAGCGGAGGGAUCAUUGCUGGAAGCGUCGUCCGACGCGCCCAGAUGCCCUAUGUCAACGCAUACACCCUUUGUUGCCUCGGGGGGCCGCCCGGGAGGCCGCGUUCUGCGCGGUACCCGGGAGCCACGGCGCCCCGGUGGCCCUUCAAACUCUUGUAUUGUAUGACCUAUCAGAAACACUAUGUAAUAGUUAAAACUUUCAGCAACGGAUCUCUUGGUUCUGGCAUCGAUGAAGAACGCAGC
This 256-nucleotide unclassified non-coding RNA is filed under the name uncultured fungus. RNAcentral's name for it is "sequence contains ITS1, 5.8S rRNA gene". The stretch from base 208 to 256 matches the Rfam family "5.8S ribosomal RNA", at positions 1 to 49 of the family's 154-position model. The record is from RNAcentral. Lineage: Eukaryota; Fungi.